RNAcentral lists this ribosomal RNA (539 nucleotides) under uncultured bacterium. Its description in RNAcentral is "bacterial SSU rRNA". It matches the Rfam family "Bacterial small subunit ribosomal RNA", at positions 356 to 896 of the family's 1533-position model. The record is from RNAcentral.
GAGGAAUAUUGGUCAAUGGACGGAAGUCUGAACCAGCCAAGUAGCGUGCAGGAUGACGGCCCUCCGGGUUGUAAACUGCUUUUAGUUGGGAAUAAAAAAAGGGACGUGUCCCUUAUUGUAUGUACCUUCAGAAAAAGGACCGGCUAAUUCCGUGCCAGCAGCCGCGGUAAUACGGAAGGUUCGGGCGUUAUCCGGAUUUAUUGGGUUUAAAGGGAGCGUAGGCCGGAGAUUAAGUGUGUUGUGAAAUGUAGACGCUCAACGUCUGACUUGCAGCGCAUACUGGUUUCCUUGAGUACGCACAACGUUGGCGGAAUUCGUCGUGUAGCGGUGAAAUGCUUAGAUAUGACGAAGAGCUCCGAUUGCGAAGGCAGCUGACGGGAGCGCAACUGACGCUGAAGCUCGAAGGUGCGGGUAUCGAACAGGAUUAGAUACCCUGGUAGUCCGCACAGUAAACGAUGGAUGCCCGCUGUUGGUACCUAGUAUCAGCGGCUAAGCGAAAGCAUUAAGCAUCCCACCUGGGGAGUACGCCGGCAACGGUG